AAAAACUCGCUAAGUUGAAAACCCAAAAGGGUGACUUAGGUAAAAAUGAGUAUCCUGGUGGACGAAAAAAAUAGAAAAUGUUCAGGCAAAAGUUAGGGAUAAAGGCAUUUGACUACAACCCUUGAGCCUAUCUCAUUAGAGCUUGAUCUCAAACGGUCAAAGAUUGAUCCAAUCAUCGCCAACUAAAGCAAAGUGUUGGAACCUAGAUCUUACAAUGGAUAAUAGUCGAUGUUGUAAUCAAUGGAAAAAUACAAA
This 255-nucleotide long non-coding RNA is filed under the name Lathyrus oleraceus (garden pea). Its description in RNAcentral is "Pisum sativum (pea) long non-coding RNA (PSAT_LNC025500)". The record is from RNAcentral. Lineage: Eukaryota; Viridiplantae; Streptophyta; Magnoliopsida; Fabales; Fabaceae.